This 194-nucleotide microRNA precursor is filed under the name Oryza brachyantha (malo sina). Its description in RNAcentral is "MIR812 microRNA precursor family". It matches the Rfam family "MIR812 microRNA precursor family". The record is from Rfam by way of RNAcentral. Lineage: Eukaryota; Viridiplantae; Streptophyta; Magnoliopsida; Poales; Poaceae.
AAUAAACGAAUUCCUGAGUUUUUAGAUUGAUUUUUUGACUCUUUGUCUUAUUUGAAAAUUUUUUAUGAUUAAUAUUUUUAUUAUUAUUAUAUGAUAAAACAUGAAUAGUACUUUGCAUGUGACUAAUUUUUUUUCAAUUUUUUAAUAAAUUUUUUUAAAACGGAUGGUCAAACGCUUUAUAGACAAAACUCAGG